UCUACUCACAAAUCCAUACACACACACACAAAGAUAUAUAUAUAUAUAUAUAUACGUACAGACUGACUCACAGAUAGACAUAUAUUUAUAUAUAUAUAUAUAUAUAUAUAUAUCGAUUGAUAGAUAGAUGUGCACACUAGAAUGGUUACCAAGAGGCUGCGAACGUGCUUCGGAGAGUCGGAAAACGGAGGGCUUGUGCAUCUCCAUAAUAACGCAAAGAGCACCUCCAAGUCGAUGCACUGGCUGCAAUUCUAAAUUAUAACCCUCACCCCCAAUUUUUUCACACUUUGAACGACUGAUAUCAGUGCGUGCACAAUAUGCAAAACACACAGAUUGCCGAACCCAGUUCUAACACACUCACUUUCGUUGUGCAGACGUGAAGACAGCCAGGCCUUGCCCUCGUGUGGGUGGGUCUAACCUUUGUGAAUAGAAAGCCAUUGUGGAAACUGCCUGCAUCGGUGUGCAGAUAUCACCACCGUCAAAUCAAUCCAGGAAUCAUCGUUAUCUGUCGGUAAAGGAUUUGACAAGGCGCUGUGGAAGCAGCAUCUUGCUGAGGUCGUGGAUAUGGUGGUGGAGGCUCACAGACCUUCAUCGGCCCUAAGAUUGUCCGCAACCACAAGUGAUAUUUUUCUCCACUGCGUUUCUUCCAAAUGGAAAUGAGAGGCUGAGAAUUGUGGCUAGCAAACCCGGAAAAAAUUGAUAACGAGGGGUGGUCGGCAGUUUCAGUGAGCGAGGAGACACAGCCACCGACGAAGCUGGUGGUAUCCUGUGAAGAGAUUGAUCACACCCUUUGGCAAUAAGCCAUGCAGUGAGUUGUCGCAGUUGGAUUCGAAGAGAGGGAAGGGCAAAUUCUUCACCGAUUUCACUGUGUGUGUUGCUUUCGGCGUUUGAGUUUGUCAAGCCUUUUAUAUCCUUGCGUAUCAUAACAGAUUUCAUUGAACAACGCGGAGAAAGCUCAUUGCAGACUGCGUCAAGCCUUUCGAACGGCAAUUACAACUUAUUCAUACCAGAAUAUAUAAUAUUUUUUUCCAUUACAUCAUAGGUGAAGAGUCACAUUUUUGCGUACAAGUUACUCCCCGUUGAAGUGUAGAAAUUGAACAUUCAACGUUAUAGCAGACAGCUCAAAAGAGCUUGUUUGCAUAGGCCAAAAGCUAUCCUUCCUUACGUAGUUUUGCAAAGGCACAGAUCGGCCUAGGUUGGAUAGGUUUUGGAACGAGAUGUUCAUUGUAAAGGCGGUUUUGUAUUAAUUUUU
This is a non-coding RNA of Physcomitrium patens, 1252 nucleotides long. NCBI's taxonomy places the organism in Eukaryota, Viridiplantae, Streptophyta, Bryopsida, Funariales, Funariaceae. The record is from RefSeq and is a predicted model, not a curated record.